UACGGCCAUAUUGCGUUGAAAUACCGGUUCUCGUAUGAUCACUGAAGUUAAGCCAUCUCGAGCCUGGUCAGUACCUAGAUGGGUAACUGUUUUGGAAUGUUAGGUACUGUAA
This is a non-coding RNA of Acanthosepion pharaonis, 112 nucleotides long. Lineage: Eukaryota; Metazoa; Mollusca; Cephalopoda; Sepiida; Sepiidae. The record is from the annotation of a GenBank genome assembly.